UACGAAGGGUCCUAGCGUUGUCCGGAUUUACUGGGCUUAAAGGGCGCGUAGGCGGACUAUUAAGUCAGUGGUGAAAGCCGGUAGCUUAACUAUCGAAUUGCCAUUGAAACUGAUAGUCUCGAGUAUAGUUGAGGUAGUUGGAAUGUAUCAUGUAGCGGUGAAAUGCUUAGAUAUGAUACAGAACACCGAUUGCGAAGGCAGAUUACUAAACUAUAACUGACGCUGAGGCACGAAAGCGUGGGGAGCAAACAGG
RNAcentral lists this ribosomal RNA (253 nucleotides) under uncultured bacterium. RNAcentral describes it as "partial 16S ribosomal RNA". It matches the Rfam family "Bacterial small subunit ribosomal RNA", at positions 524 to 776 of the family's 1533-position model. The record is from RNAcentral.